This 423-nucleotide long non-coding RNA is filed under the name Zalophus californianus (California sea lion). Its description in RNAcentral is "lncRNA (ENSZCAG00015004113.1)". Lineage: Eukaryota; Metazoa; Chordata; Mammalia; Carnivora; Otariidae. The record is from RNAcentral.
CUGCAGGAAAUCUCAAAUAUCAUAAAGUUCUGAUCUGCUCAGGGGGGUUCAGGAGGAAGUUUCUUUUGGGGUUUUUUUUGUUGUGGUGGUGGGUGGUGGUAGUGGUUUGGUUUGGUUUUGGUUUUGUUCCAUCUAUCUCUGUGCUUUUUCCCCUCAGGGGGAAGGUUCUAUAUAGUUCCUAGCUUUCACUGCCUGAAUAGCAAUAAAAACAUUUCCUUUCAUUUUCUCCCUUCCUUCUUCAGUUCAACCAGAUCAGUACCAAAAGACUAUAUGCUAGCAGAAAUCUCAAGACCAUUCCAAGCUUUGUCUUCACCUGGAGGCAGUCUCAGAGAUCCCAAGGCAGUGGCUGACACUUUUCCUCCAUGCUUUGAGAGGAAGAGAAUUGGCUGGAAUAAAACCUUGCCUUCCACAUGGUCGACUUGA